UACAGAGGUCUCAAGCGUUGUUCGGAUUCAUUGGGCGUAAAGGGUGCGUAGGUGGCGCCGUAAGUCAGAUGUGAAAUUCCGGAGCUCAACUCCGGAACUGCAUUUGAUACUGCGGUGCUCGAGGACUGGAGAGGAGACUGGAAUUCACGGUGUAGCAGUGAAAUGCGUAGAUAUCGUGAGGAAGACCAGUGGCGAAGGCGGGUCUCUGGACAGUUCCUGACACUGAGGCACGAAGGCCAGGGGAGCAAACGGGAUUAGAAACCCCCGUAGUCC
Molecule: ribosomal RNA, 273 nt
Filed under: uncultured bacterium
Lineage: Bacteria
Description: partial 16S ribosomal RNA
Rfam family: Bacterial small subunit ribosomal RNA
Source: RNAcentral